CCCUUAGAUGUUCUGGGCCGCACGCGCGCUACACUGACGAAGUCAGCGAGCAUGUCCUACGCCGACAGGUGCGGGGAAUCUUGUCAAACUUCGUCGUGAGGGGGAUUGAUUAUUGAAAUUCUUGAUCAUCAACGAGGAAUUCCUAGUAAGCGCAAGUCAGCAGCUUGCGUUGAUUACGUCCCUGCCCUUUGUACACACCGCCCGUCGCUACUACCGAUUGAAUGGUUUAGUGAGAUCUUCGGAUUGGCGCCACUGCGGCUCAGCAAUGGGCUCGGUGGAUGCCGAAAAGUUGAUCAAACUUGAUCAUUUAGAGGAAGUAAAAGUCGUAACA
Molecule: ribosomal RNA, 331 nt
Filed under: uncultured eukaryote
Lineage: Eukaryota
Description: partial 18S ribosomal RNA
Rfam family: Eukaryotic small subunit ribosomal RNA
Source: RNAcentral